RNA transcript from Carcharodon carcharias (great white shark), 6201 nucleotides. It is a transcript of the gene named zinc fingers and homeoboxes protein 1-like, with no coding region annotated. The record is from RefSeq and is a predicted model, not a curated record. The transcript is spliced from 9 exons. NCBI's taxonomy places the organism in Eukaryota, Metazoa, Chordata, Chondrichthyes, Lamniformes, Lamnidae.
CAAUGACGUCAGGUCGCCUGCGUCGACGUCCUUCCCGAUCUAUAUAUAAAUUAAUGUGUCGAUUAAUUAAAGAGCGGUAUUGAUAAAUCGGGACGGUCGGCGGCAGGACAAUGCAGUUCGGAUGGUUUCGAGGAGUCGGGAGAGCUGUACUGCUUUAAAUGGCUCUCUGAAAGAGCUGGAACAAACGAGACUGGCCGAAUGGUCUCCUUUUCGAUAGCCUUCUGAGUACUGAGGAUGAGAUCGAUAGAUUUCUAGAUGUUAAUGACACCAAGGGACAUCGAAAUAGCGUGGGAAAAUGGUGUUGAGGUUCCAACACAAUCUGUAAUUUUGAUGUAAAGUAAUCCAAGAACUGCCCAAACCUGCGAAGUUGUGUUAUUUCCAAUAUUUGCAGGCUUUGCUUCCUAUUCGAGCUAAUUGAUGGAGCUGAAAAUUCAAAUCAGUGGCACUUUUGCUCAUGAUGUGGGUGUCACUGGCCAGUUCAGUGUUUAUCGCCCAUCCCUAAUUGUCGCUGAAUAGGUGCUGGUGAGCCACAUUCUUGACAACUGAGUGGCUUGUGAGGCCAUUUCAGAGGGCUUUUAAAAGUCGACCACAUUGCUGGGAGUUACAUGUAGGUUGGACCGGAAAGGACAACAGAUUUCUUUCCCCAAAGGACAUUAGUGAACCAGGUGAAUGCGAAGUGAUAUUGCUGCUACCUGUGGGGAGGCACAACAGGAAGAUAUCAAGGUGAAGGUAGAUCAACUUUCAGUGACAUUGGUAGUUUCCGGAAAAAAAUCAGUUUUUCGCCACUGACCAUGGCUAGCAAAAGGAAAUCUAAAAUUCCUUGCAUGGUUCCUGCCAGUGAGACUCUGGACCAGGACCCAGAAUUGGACAUGAUUACAGAUGAUCUUCCUCCAGAUAUUUCUGAUGAGAGCUUGACAGCAGAUAGUGCAGUAAUUGAUGAUGAGAAUAUUCCAGAAAAGGAAGUGCAAGAUACCCAAAUCAAGAGACUAGAAGGAGGCUAUGAAUGUAAAUAUUGCACUUUUGAAACACAGGACUUGAACGAAUUUACUUUGCAUGUUGACUCAAAGCACCCAAAUGUUAUUCUUAACCCAUCCUACUUCUGUGUGGAAUGUAAUUUUACGACCAAAAGGUAUGAUACUCUUAAUGACCACAAUGCCAGAUACCAUUCAGGUGAAAUAAAUUUUAAGCUUAAAAUGGUAAAACACAAUAAUCAAACUGUCUUUGAACAGACUGUUGAAGAAUCCAAUAGUAAUGGUGUUUCUACAAAUGAGGAACAGGCAGAAAGCACUGAUAGUACUCCAAUGGGAAUUUCAAUAAGCAAAACUUCAAUUAUGAAGAUGAUUAAAAGUAAAACUGAGACCAAAAGAAUCUCUGUCUCACCUAGUUUGGUAGAUGAAUUUACUGCUGAUCAAGAAAACAAUGAUGAGACACUGGGGGCCAACUCAGUCUCAGGAUCUACCAAUACCAGUGGAAUUUGCAUUAACCAAGAAACAAAUGGAGUGAUACUUGAUUCAGUAAAUGUAAGUCAAGUGAUACCCUCCCCAACUCCUAAUUUAGUUCCUAAAGUUAUGAUUCCUGUGAACAGCAUUCCAACUUACAACACUAAUAUGGAUGUAAAUACUCACCUACUGAACUCGUUCAACAGAUUUCCUUAUCCCACACAGUCAGAAGUUGUAACAUUAAAGACUCAGACAAAAUAUGCAGAAGAACAGAUUAAAAUCUGGUUCACGGCUCAGCGUCUCAAGCACGGCAUCAGUUGGACCCCAGAGGAGGUGGAAGAUGCCAAGAAGAAACUUUUCAAUGGAACUGUGCACUCUAUACCACAAACAAUUACAGUCAUACCGGCACAGAUUUCAACAUCUGCUAAUGGGCUGCAGCAGAUCCUUCAGCCUUGUCAGAUAGUUGGCCAGCCAGGUAUUGUCUUGGCGCAGGUCGCCAGUACAAAUGCAGUUGCUGGGAAUUCUCCAAUUACUGUCACCGUUGCAGGAGUUGCAAAUCAAACACCACAGUGGCAAAAGCGCAGAGCACAGGAAGGUGACGCAGGUCCCGAAGCAAAACGGACAAACAAUGCGCAGCUUCCACAACUUGCUGCACAAGGAAGCUCUCUCGUUCCCGCUUCAGCCACAGAUCCAUAUGGUGUGCGCCUCAAGAAGACAAAAGAACAACUGACAGAACUAAAAGCCAGCUUCAAUAGAAAUGCGUUCCCCAGUGACGCGGAGAUUGCUAGAAUUAUACAAGUGACAGGCCUCUCGAGGGGUGACAUUAAGAAGUGGUUCAGUGACACAAGAUACAACCACAGGAAUUCAAGGUGUAAUCAAAAUGUCAAUGUUCCUGAGGUCAGCAGCACUAUUGUUUUAGAUUCUGGUGAUGAAACCACAUCCGAAUCCCUUGUAAUAACUCAACAGCGCAAACACGGAUGGAAUGCUUUCCCUGAUUUUACUCCACAGAAGUUCAAAGAGAAAUCUACAGAGCAGCUUCACCUCCUGGAAGAAAGUUUCCUUUCAAAUCCAUUUCCUAAUGAUGAUGAGAUUAACAAGCUAAGGACUGAUACAAAACUCACCAGGAGGGAGAUUGAUGUCUGGUUCUGUGAAAGAAGGAAAGCUAAAUGCUCUGACGAUAAAAAUGAGGAGAGUGGGAAAGCAAUUGGAGGCGAGGUUGACGUUAAAUACAAAGACUCUGAUGGAGUAUCUGCCAAAUCAAAUUAUGGGCAAAUUCAUACCACAUCUUUGGCAAGUGGGUUAGCAAUACCAAGAGUAAUGGCUGCUGCAGCUAGUAGGCUAUAUAAGAAAACUCCAGAGCAACUACAUCUCCUUAAAAGUGCAUUUGUCCGUACACAGUGGCCGUCCCCAGAGGAAUACGACCGAUUAGCAGCAGAUAGUGGACUGGCCAGAACUGACAUAGUAAGUUGGUUCGGAGAUACCAGAUAUGCUUGGAAAAAUGGUAACUUGAAAUGGUACUAUUACUAUCAAAGCGGUAAUGUGGAAUGCCAAAAUGGACAAACCCAAGUUUCCUCCAAAAAGAGUAAAGGCAGAGGUAGAUCAAGAGGUAGACCACGAGGAAGAGGAAGGCCCAGAGGCACUGGAAGGUCAAAUAACUGGAGUGGAACAUCAACUAGCAAAUCAGGCCAUGCUUCUUCAGGGAAAAAUAUUCUUGAACAAUACUACUUGAAGCACAAAUACUUAAACGAAGAGGACCUUGACGAUCUUGUUGCAAGAUCGUGUAUGAGUUACGAGAGCAUCAGGGAAUGGUUUGUACAAAGGCAAACAGAAGGUGGUGCUUCUGAGAGCAAUAAUUCAGAUGGACAGUACCCCGGUGAUGAUGAGAAGAAUGAACCACUUGAUGAGGAUGAAGAUUGGCCUGGGGAAGAGAAUGCGAGCCAGGAGGAUGAAGAUGAUGCCUCUGAUGCAAGUGGCAGCAGUGAUGUAUGGAAACCUCCUUCACAAAAAAGCAAUGAAGUUACGGAACCAGAUGGUGAAUUUUCUGCAGAGAAUUCCAAUGUAUAAAUGGUAUAUUCCAGGAGUGUGAUUCCUAAUUCACCAUUAUUUCUGAGACCAUUGGGAUACGGCUGGAGACUCUCGAGGAACCCCAAUGUAUAAAUUAUGUUGGGGAGGCAGGAAAUUUUUUUGAUAUAACCCAGUGUGCAAACAACUUCUGUUUUCAGCUCUGAAUACAACUUUUAGACACAUUGGAACAGGAACUGCGAAUAUGUGAAAGUCAUCAUUGGGCACUUGAGCCAAAAGAAUUAAAACAGAGAAUCCUCAACUGUGGUUAUCCUCUCUGAGCUGCAAGAUUAUUUCCGUAAAGAAAUAUCCAUGCGCCACAUAUUUAUUUCCCAAUAAAUCAAAGUUUUUUUUUAAAUUUCCAUAGUGCCAAAGUUUUAAUACAGGAAUAGAAAGGAUUUUUGUACAUAAAUGACUGUUUUGAAACAGAUUUGUACAGUUUGGGAUUUUGCUACAUUUUUAGUGAGAUGUGUCUUUGAGCACAUGUUUAGAUUUUUCAACCACUUGUAUUUUUUUCAUGUAGGCUAUUACAUUACCCACAUAGAUUUGGCUCAAGUGUCAUUUUGUAAUCUGUCUUCCUGGGAUACAGGCAGUUACAAUAAGCUUUGAGCAACCAUAUGACAUUUCAGCAUUAGUUUAAAGCAAACAUCUAUCAGUAAAGAAAUGCUAACAGAUAUAUUUGUGACUUAAUUAUGCAUGGUACUUUUUGUAUUUGCUUUGGAAAAUUUAUCUGUUCAAUUUUAUGCUUUAAGCUUUAGUAGUUACUCGAAAUUACACACAUUUAUAGAUGUAGAUCAAGUCAGCAAUUUGUUUCUCCCCUGAUAUUUUCUUCAGAAGCCAUAUGCCCAGUUGCUAAUAUUUUUCAGUAUCUUCUGCAAAAGUGAUUUUGUAUACUGAAAUUAGGAAAUUGCUGCUUCUACAUAUACAGUUCUACAUUUAUAUAAUAUAUAUAUAGUAUUUAAAUAUUGUAAGCAUUGAGUAAGGGGGUUGCAAGCUGUGGUUUGAAUAAAUCUGUGUCCAGUUCUAAUUUUUCACGCUAUUUAUUGUACUUUAUGGUGUGAGUACAGUGAGGAGAAGCAUCCAAGUUGAUUGGUCAUGCCUUUUUUUAUAUAGCUAGCAAUUCACCACUAUAGUCAUUUGUGUUUAGUUUGUCUUGCUUAUGUAGCAAAUUACUAUUUGUGCUCCAUCCAUUUCAAGAAUGUUUAGAUUAUUUUCCGAAAGUAGAAAUAAUAUCUAUAAACCACUAGUGGUAAGCUAAACCAGUUAACACAUGUACCUAGUUUUAGACAGAUGCUCUCUAUUUCUGUAGAAAAUAUGGAUCUCUUUACAAAUUUGAAUCAUGAUUACAGUACUGGCUGGUCCCGGUGAAUGUGCAUUUUUAUAAUGCAAAAAAGUUGUUUGCACAUUUAUUGUACAAGUACUGUAUACUAAAUUCUUCAAAGUUUGAUCAUUAUUAGUUAGGACUUCGGUUGUUCAACCACUAAUGACACACAAGUCAUCAUAAAGUAGUUUGCCCUGCACUAGUAACUCUCAAAAGCAGUUUAGCUUCAUAUUUUUCUUCACUAUUUUAAUAUUCGUCAAGAAUCCUGGCAAAACAUUACUUCUCUAAAAUUCAUCAUGAUAUAACCAUUGGUUUUCAUCACCUUUUUCAGGUUUAAGAUAUGUAAACAGUAUUUUAGUUUAAUUUAGCAAAGACUUGUUGUAGCACAUAACACUAGUACAGAUUGUGUGCAGCAGUUUUCCCAAACAUUUUGUGGGAAACGCUGAACUCGAUGCUCCUUCUGGCUCACCAGCGUGGCAGUUUUUAGUUUGAGCGGAUAUAGUUGCCUAACUCGUAAAGGUUUAGUAUCCUAUAUUUUUAACAGUGGUAACAAUUGUCACUGUGAUUAUGAACAGUGAAAUGUUAACACGACCAAGCGUUCUUAGUCUGAGGCUAUAACAGUAUAUUCCCUUCUUAGCCUCUGCCUCACAAGGCCGACACACAAAAUAGAAUUAAACGAUUUUAAAUGUCAGGACUUUGUUUUUAGUGAACAUUUUAGAAGCCUUAGUACAUCACACAUUCAUUUUUUUUUUUCAAGAAGCUUAAGUAUUUAAUCCAAACUUUUUGAUAUGUAAUCUGGUGAUGUAGGUGCAUUUAGCUUUGCUACUGGUCACAGCCCACGUACAGCUUUUCCACCAAUGAGCAUUGACUGGCCCUCUCUGCUGAUUCACCUUCUUGCCAAUGUCCCAUAGAUCACUUAAUUUAAAGCUUGAAAGUAAGUUUUAAAUAAAAAUUCCGCUACGAUCUCAAUUAACCAUUUUUGUUUCAGGUUUGCACUGCUAUUUUGUUUGUCCAGUUACCUGCUUUGUAAGGUCCUGUGAACAACCCCGUGUCAAAGAUGAUUAAAAUUCUGUUCCAAAUCUUUACUAAAAAAUAUCUGUGAAUAUCCAACAUAAUCAGCCAGCAUUCCUGCCCUUGGUGGCUUUCUAGGAAACCUAAAUGUGCUGUUGAAGGGGGUCAGUGGAGAUUUUAUAUAGGUUUGUUUUUUUUUGUCUGUUAUUCCUGCAGAUAAUGUUUUUAAAUUGACAUCUGUUUAGCUGUCUACUGCAGUUCUGUCUUGAUGUUUUGUUUUGAUGUAGAUUUGACAAAUCCUUUUCCAUUGACUAUAAUGAUUGUAAUAGGCGAACAUAACACAUUUCAAAAUAAACCUUCAUUCUGUGA